This 254-nucleotide ribosomal RNA is filed under the name uncultured bacterium. RNAcentral's name for it is "partial 16S ribosomal RNA". It matches the Rfam family "Bacterial small subunit ribosomal RNA", at positions 524 to 776 of the family's 1533-position model. The record is from RNAcentral.
UACGGGGGGAGCAAGCGUUGUUCGGAUUUACUGGGCGUAAAGGGCGCGUAGGCGGCCACCGCAAGUCGACUGUGAAAUCUCCGGGCUUAAUCCGGAAAGGUCAGCCGAUACUGCGGGGCUAGAGUGCAGAAGGGGCAACUGGAAUUCUCGGUGUAGCGGUGAAAUGCGUAGAUAUCAAGAGGAACACCUGCGGCGAAGGCGGGUUGCUGGGCUGACACUGACGCUGAGGCGCGAAAGCUAGGGGAGCGAACGGG